Molecule: small RNA, 30 nt
Filed under: Bombyx mori (domestic silkworm)
Lineage: Eukaryota; Metazoa; Arthropoda; Insecta; Lepidoptera; Bombycidae
Description: ovarian small RNA-19134
Source: RNAcentral
UAAGAAUGUGUGCGUGCGGCAGGCCUCGCU